RNAcentral lists this ribosomal RNA (459 nucleotides) under uncultured bacterium. RNAcentral describes it as "partial 16S ribosomal RNA". It matches the Rfam family "Bacterial small subunit ribosomal RNA", at positions 338 to 795 of the family's 1533-position model. The record is from RNAcentral.
CCUACGGGAGGCAGCAGUGAGGAAUAUUGGUCAAUGGGCGAGAUCCUGAACCAGCCAAGCCGCGUGAGGGAAGACGGCCCUAUGGGUUGUAAACCUCUUUUGUCGGAGAACAAAACCCGGGACGUGUCCCGGACUGCGUGUAUCCGAAGAAAAAGCAUCGGCUAACUCCGUGCCAGCAGCCGCGGUAAUACGGAGGAUGCGAGCGUUAUCCGGAUUUAUUGGGUUUAAAGGGUGCGUAGGCGGUCCGUUAAGUCAGCGGGAAAAUUGCGGGGCUCAACCCUGUCGAGCCGUUGCAACUGGCAGACUUGAGUUGGCGAGAAGUACGCGGAAUGCGCGGUGUAGCGGUGAAAUGCAUAGAUAUCGCGCAGAACUCCGAUUGCGAAGGCAGCGUACCGGAGCCAGACUGACGCUGAGGCACGAAAGCGUGGGGAUCGAACAGGAUUAGAUACCCCUGUAGUC